CCUACGGGGGGCAGCAGUGAGGAAUAUUGGUCAAUGGGCGGGAGCCUGAACCAGCCAAGUCGCGUGAGGGAAGACGGUCCUACGGAUUGUAAACCUCUUUUGCCGGGGAGCAACGGGGUCCUUGCGAGGUCCCAAUGAGAGUACCCGGAGAAAAAGCAUCGGCUAACUCCGUGCCAGCAGCCGCGGUAAUACGUAGGGGGCAAGCGUUAUCCGGAUUUACUGGGUGUAAAGGGAGCGUAGACGGCCAGACAAGUCUGAAGUGAAAAUCCAGCGCUUAACGUUGGAAGUGCUUUGGAAACUGCCGG
RNAcentral lists this ribosomal RNA (305 nucleotides) under uncultured bacterium. RNAcentral describes it as "bacterial SSU rRNA". It matches the Rfam family "Bacterial small subunit ribosomal RNA", at positions 338 to 639 of the family's 1533-position model. The record is from RNAcentral.